This 253-nucleotide ribosomal RNA is filed under the name uncultured bacterium. Its description in RNAcentral is "partial 16S ribosomal RNA". It matches the Rfam family "Bacterial small subunit ribosomal RNA", at positions 524 to 776 of the family's 1533-position model. The record is from RNAcentral.
UACGUAGGGUGCGAGCGUUGUCCGGAAUUAUUGGGCGUAAAGAGCUCGUAGGCGGCCUGUCGCGUCGGAUGUGAAAGCCCGGGGCUUAACCCCGGGUCUGCAUUCGAUACGGGCAGGCUAGAGUGUGGUAGGGGAGAUCGGAAUUCCUGGUGUAGCGGUGAAAUGCGCAGAUAUCAGGAGGAACACCGGUGGCGAAGGCGGAUCUCUGGGCCAUUACUGACGCUGAGGAGCGAGAGCGUGGGGAGCGAACAGG